RNAcentral lists this ribosomal RNA (478 nucleotides) under uncultured bacterium. RNAcentral describes it as "partial 16S ribosomal RNA". It matches the Rfam family "Bacterial small subunit ribosomal RNA", at positions 28 to 523 of the family's 1533-position model. The record is from RNAcentral.
GACGAACGCUGGCGGCGUGCUUAACACAUGCAAGUCGAACGGUAAGGCCCUUCGGGGUACACGAGUGGCGAACGGGUGAGUAACACGUGGGUGAUCUGCCCUGCACUUCGGGAUAAGCCUGGGAAACUGGGUCUAAUACCGGCUAGGACUCCUGCCUGCAUGGGUGGGGGUGGAAAGCUUUUGCGGUGUGGGAUGGGCCCGCGGCCGAUCAGCUUGUUGGUGGGGUGAUGGCCUACCAAGGCGACGACGGGUAGCCGGCCGGAGAGGGUGACCGGCCACACUGGGACUGAGAUACGGCCCAGACUCCUACGGGAGGCAGCAGUGGGGAAUAUUGCACAAUGGGCGCAAGCCUGAUGCAGCGACGCCGCGUGAGGGAUGACGGCCUUCGGGUUGUAAACCUCUUUCAGCACAGACGAAGCGCAAGUGACGGUAUGUGCAGAAGAAGGACCGGCUAACUACGUGCCAGCAGCCGCAGUAA